GGCGACGUGGCGGAGUGGUUACGCAGCGGCCUGCAAAGCCGUCAACCCCGGUUCGAUUCCGGGCGUCGCCUCCA
RNAcentral lists this transfer RNA (74 nucleotides) under Rhodomicrobium sp. Its description in RNAcentral is "tRNA-Cys". It matches the Rfam family "tRNA". Rfam says of the family: Transfer RNA (tRNA) molecules are approximately 80 nucleotides in length. Their secondary structure includes four short double-helical elements and three loops (D, anti-codon, and T loops). Lineage: Bacteria; Pseudomonadati; Pseudomonadota; Alphaproteobacteria; Hyphomicrobiales; Hyphomicrobiaceae. The record is from RNAcentral.